AGUAGUAUCUCCUAUGUCUUCCAGGCUCUCUCUCUCGUUUACUCUCCCCCACUCUCUCCUCUCUCCCAGUCUCUCUUUCUCUCUCCCUCCUCAACCGGAUGCCGUUCUCUCUCCACCUCUCGUCGUCUCUCUGCCCCUGCUCGCGCGGAUCCGCUGCCGGCGAUGACGGGAUGGGCCGAGCCUUCAAGCCAUCGUUUCUGCUCGCGUGAUCCGCCGUCGACGGCAACGGGAGGGGCGGAUCCGGCGACUCUUCCCCUCCCGCACGGAUACCGUCCACUCUUCGGCCCCCUCUCACGUGGAUCCACCGUCGGCGGCGACGGUAGGGGCAGAUCCGGCGACCUCUUCCCCUCCCGCACGUGUCCCGUCUUCUCUCCGCCCGCCUCUCGCGCGGAUCCGUCGCCAGCGACGACGAGAGGGCCUUGGAGCUGCAUGGAUCGAGGGAUGAGAGCAACGUCUCCUCUUCUUCCCCUUCUUCCUCCUCACCUGACCAUCAGGAAAUCAAUCCUGUGGUUUUUUGAACUGUUGUACUGGAGAUUGAUGUCAACGUGAUAAUCACUGACUACUACAUGCCUGGCAUGACAGUAUGAUCUACUGAAGAGGGUGAAGGUAAGUUUUGUUUGCAUUGAAUUUAUUCUUAUCCUGUGAGCAUUCAUAAAUCUUGGGUCCUUUGUUGCUGUAAGUGGAGUAAAAUUUGCUCCUUUUGCUCCUCAUUUUGGGGGUACAAGUGUCAUCUUCAUUGAAGGACAUACCAGUUGUGAUCAUUUCUUCUGAGAAUGUGCCUGCAAUGAUCAACAGGGUUGACUUCAAUGAUAACCUGGAGAUAAUGAUUGGAGGUGAUUUGAUGCCCUACAGGAAGAGACUUGCGAUCUGUAUUUUCUUGUGUGCUUCUAUUAUUUCUAUCCCUUCUAAUAAUAAUAUUGUAUGUCUUGCUGGCUUGCGAGAGAAAUAUGUAAAAUCAUGUUAGUGGGAGUGCUAAAAAUAGUGGAAAAAAAGGCGGGACAAUCAGACUGCUGGACGGAUAGAAAAGGAAAAGAAAAGCGACCGAACUCCUGAACGGAAAGAAAAGGGAAAGAAAAGCUCCUACCGGACUAAUGGACUGCGAUCUUUUUAUUGCCUGAUAGAAAGGUGGCUUGAUGUCUUAGAGGAAGAGCCUUGUCUGCUUCUAUCAUUUAUAUUGCUUGUAAUGUAAUGUCAUGUAAUAUUAAUAGCAUGACUCAACAUAAAAUCGGGAUAAAAUUGGAGUAGGAAUCGGUGCAGGGGCUCUUUUUAGUA
Molecule: non-coding RNA, 1272 nt
Organism: Oryza sativa Japonica Group (Japanese rice)
Lineage: Eukaryota; Viridiplantae; Streptophyta; Magnoliopsida; Poales; Poaceae
Source: RefSeq, a predicted model, not a curated record